This 253-nucleotide ribosomal RNA is filed under the name uncultured bacterium. Its description in RNAcentral is "partial 16S ribosomal RNA". It matches the Rfam family "Bacterial small subunit ribosomal RNA", at positions 524 to 776 of the family's 1533-position model. The record is from RNAcentral.
UACGAAGGGGGCUAGCGUUGCUCGGAAUCACUGGGCGUAAAGCGCACGUAGGCGGCUUUUUAAGUCAGGGGUGAAAUCCUGGAGCUCAACUCCAGAACUGCCUUUGAUACUGGGAAGCUUGAGUCCGGGAGAGGUGAGUGGAACUCCGAGUGUAGAGGUGAAAUUCGUAGAUAUUCGCAAGAACACCAGUGGCGAAGGCGGCUCACUGGCCCGAUACUGACGCUGAGGCACGAAAGCGUGGGGAGCAAACAGG